This 253-nucleotide ribosomal RNA is filed under the name uncultured bacterium. RNAcentral describes it as "partial 16S ribosomal RNA". It matches the Rfam family "Bacterial small subunit ribosomal RNA", at positions 524 to 776 of the family's 1533-position model. The record is from RNAcentral.
UACGUAGGUGACGAGCGUUGUCCGGAUUUACUGGGCGUAAAGAGCGCGCAGGCGGUUCGCCAAGUCAGGUGUGAAAUCCCCGGGCUUAGCCUGGGAAUUGCGCUUGAAACUAGCGGGCUUGAGUGUGGCAGAGGGGGGUGGAAUUCCACGUGUAGCAGUGAAAUGCGUAGAGAUGUGGAGGAACACCGAUGGCGAAGGCAGCCCCCUGGGUCAACACUGACGCUCAUGCACGAAAGCGUGGGGAGCAAACAGG